AUGUCGGGCCGCCGAUCUCGCUCUCGCCUUGCCCUCAGCACUGCCCCCGAUGGCCGCAGCAGACCCGUCGGUCCCUAUUCCCGCGGCGCUGCCGCCGAGGGCCGCCGCAGGUCUGCCGAUCGCUCCGCUGCCCUCAGAUCUCUCGCGUCUAUGGUGCCGCCUGGGUUCGACCCGUCGCUGAAUCCUAUGCGCUCGUGGCCGCCGUCGCAGGAGUCGCGCGACUCCUUGGUGCGCGCACUCCUGCAGAAAUUGGUAGGGCCCAGCCUCUACUGCGUCCACUACGGCGCCGUCCCGGAGCCCGAGGCCAGGCGCGCCGCCGCGGCCAUCGAGGCCGAGUCCUUCGCUGCCAUCUCCGAGUAUGCCUCCGGCGCGACCUUGGCCUCCCGCAAGGAGCGUUUCGCCAUCUACAAGAUGUACUUGAAGGAGGCUUGCGAUCGGCUCCUCGCGUUCUUCAAAUCCCGAGCCGCCGCAAUGGGGGGCAUGCCGGAAUCGGGGGAUUCGUCGGCGCCUACUUUGGCUCUUCCCGCUCCCGCUUCCGCUUCCAAGGAGUAG
RNAcentral lists this ribosomal RNA (552 nucleotides) under Triticum aestivum (bread wheat). RNAcentral's name for it is "partial small subunit ribosomal RNA". Lineage: Eukaryota; Viridiplantae; Streptophyta; Magnoliopsida; Poales; Poaceae. The record is from RNAcentral.